This 274-nucleotide ribosomal RNA is filed under the name uncultured bacterium. RNAcentral's name for it is "partial 16S ribosomal RNA". It matches the Rfam family "Archaeal small subunit ribosomal RNA", at positions 473 to 747 of the family's 1478-position model. The record is from RNAcentral.
AAACCAGCACCUCAAGUGGUCAGGAUGAUUAUUGGGCCUAAAGUAUCCGUAGCCGGCUCUGUAAGUUUUCGGUUAAAUCUGUACGCUUAACGUACAGGCUGUCGGGAAUACUGCAGAGCUAGGGAGUGGGAGAGGUAGACGGUACUCGGGAGGAAGUGGUAAAAUGCUUUGAUCUCUCGAUGACCACCUGUGGCGAAGGCGGUCUACCAGAACACGUCCGACGGUGAGGGAUGAAAGCUGGGGGAGCAAACCGGAUUAGAAACCCCAGUAGUCC